RNAcentral lists this unclassified non-coding RNA (381 nucleotides) under Amphibalanus amphitrite. Its description in RNAcentral is "uncharacterized LOC122384108, transcript variant X1". Lineage: Eukaryota; Metazoa; Arthropoda; Thecostraca; Balanomorpha; Balanidae. The record is from RNAcentral.
GCCGAAUGUGGGCUGAAUCGGUCAGGUAGCGGCAAUUACUACUUCAAUUACUACUUCGCCAACUACUACUUCACUCGGGACGCGCGCCGCGAGGUGAUGCCGCCGGUGCUGCUCGCCGAGAACACCGGCGCCGCGCUGCUCACCGCCAAAAAGAGCAAGAAGGAGAAGAAGAAAGAGAAGGAGGCGGCGGCGGCGGCGGCCGAGACCGAUGCGGGUGCCCAGGUGUCGACGGCAGCGGCGUCGGCAGUGCCGCGUCCCGGCCAGCCCUACGUCUGGGACGGCCGUGCCGAGGUUUGAUCGUCGACACCAACAGACGACGUCAGGGUGCGUGUACAUAGGGAGCUAGGAUACUAUUGUGGUCAAUACAGCUAUGUCGAUAGG